CCGGAAGAAUUACAGUAGAGAGUAUUGGCUUCCUGUGAGAGGCUUUGAUCUGAACAUAAACGAAGGCAACGCUGUACCCAAGGCAGAAUAGAAAGUUCUGGUAAAUGGGGCAUGCAGGAAGGUGAAAACAGAGCUCAUAUUAGUGCUUGUUUUCCUGUGCAAUUAAGUCAAGUCAUCUGCUGAGAGGGUUGGGGGACAUGGGGUUGCAGGCUGAAGAGAGGUAUGAAAUAGGCCUCUUGGGUAGUGCUGAGUGCUUAUUCCAGGCCC
RNAcentral lists this long non-coding RNA (267 nucleotides) under Bos taurus (domestic cattle). RNAcentral describes it as "long non-coding RNA NONBTAT011100". The record is from RNAcentral. Lineage: Eukaryota; Metazoa; Chordata; Mammalia; Artiodactyla; Bovidae.